CACGUAGGGCGCAAGCGUUGUCCGGAAUUAUUGGGCGUAAAGCGCGCGCAGGCGGUCCUUUAAGUCUGAUGUGAAAGCCCACGGCUCAACCGUGGAGGGUCAUUGGAAACUGGGGGACUUGAGUGCAGGAGAGAAGAGAGGAAUUCCACGUGUAGCGGUGAAAUGCGUAGAGAUGUGGAGGAACACCGAUGGCGAAGGCAGCCCCCUGGGCUGAGAUUGACGCUCAGGCACGAAAGCGUGGGGAGCAAACAGG
RNAcentral lists this ribosomal RNA (253 nucleotides) under uncultured bacterium. Its description in RNAcentral is "partial 16S ribosomal RNA". It matches the Rfam family "Bacterial small subunit ribosomal RNA", at positions 524 to 776 of the family's 1533-position model. The record is from RNAcentral.